UCGAACGGGAUGGCAGAGGAGGUGAGGAGGGAGAAGCGUCCGGAGUGGGGCGGGCCCGGACUCCGACCCCCGGGGCGCUUCGAGCCCCCCAGCGGGUCACCGAGGCACCGCCGCUCCACCCAGGCCAGUAGCCGCCCCCUCGCGCACCCCGGCCCCGCCUCACACGCGCGCCCGAGCGAGCCCCGGGCUCCCCUCGGGCCCAGCGCGGCGCAGGGGUCAGUGGUUCUCUCGGGUCUCGGGACAGGUGAGCACCCUGAUGAAGGCCACAGUCCUGAUGCGGCAGCCUGGGCGGGUGCAGGAGAUCGUGGGCGCCCUCCGCAAGGGCGGCGGAGAUCGGUUACAGAUUUCUCAAUAUGGUCAUGCUGCUUCCCCUAAUUGGACAGAAGGCGCCCACACCAGUACCUAGGGCCUUAUCCUCCCCAAGCCAGCGGCUCCCCAGUGAUUUCUGAUUUUGACAUGACCUUGAGCAGGUUUGCAUAUAAUGGAAAGCGAUGCCCUUCUUCUUACAAUAUUCUGGAUAAUAGCAAGAUCAUCAGUGAGGAGUGUCGGAAAGAGCUCACAGCACUCCUUCACCACUAUUACCCAAUUGAGAUCGACCCACACCGGACCGUCAAGGAGAAGCUACCUCAUAUGGUGGAAUGGUGGACCAAAGCGCACAAUCUCCUAUGUCAGCAGAAGAUUCAGAAGUUUCAGAUAGCCCAGGUGGUUAGAGAGUCCAAUGCAAUGCUCAGGGAGGGAUACAAGACCUUCUUCAACACACUCUACCAUAACAACAUUCCCCUUUUCAUCUUUUCUGCGGGCAUUGGUGAUAUCCUGGAAGAAAUUAUCAGACAGAUGAAAGUGUUCCACCCCAACAUCCACAUCGUGUCUAACUACAUGGAUUUUAAUGAAGAUGGUUUUCUCCAGGGAUUUAAGGGCCAGCUCAUACACACAUACAACAAGAACAGCUCUGUGUGUGAGAACUCUGGUUACUUCCAGCAACUUGAGGGCAAAACCAAUGUCAUCUUGCUGGGAGACUCCAUCGGGGACCUCACCAUGGCCGAUGGGGUUCCUGGUGUGCAGAACAUUCUCAAGAUUGGCUUCCUGAAUGACAAGGUGGAGGAGCGGCGGGAGCGCUACAUGGACUCCUAUGACAUCGUGCUGGAGAAGGACGAGACUCUGGAUGUGGUCAACGGGCUACUGCAGCACAUCCUGUGCCAGGGGGUCCAGCUGGAGAUGCAAGGCCCCUGAAGGCACAGGCUUCACCCGGCCUGCAGGCCGUGGUGAGGAGGGGGCGCCUCCCCAGAGUGCGCUCCCCCGUGAACACAGAGCAGAGGCCAGGGUGGCCAGCAGUGGCUGGGUCCUUCCAUGCUCCCUCUCCGUCCUCCUUUCCCCGAGCACCUUCAUCACCAGAGGCUUGAAGGAACCCCGCCAUGUGGCAGGGCACAAGCACUGUUCCUGGUGAACCUUGGACCACAGCAUGUCAGUGCUCUAGGGAUUGUCUGUUCCAGGGAUUUUUUUCAAAAUUUUUAAACAUGGGAAGUUGUUCUUCAAACAAAUAUAAUGUGUGAAACAGAUGAAAAUUUUUAAAAUGAAAAAAAA
This 1581-nucleotide small RNA is filed under the name Pongo abelii (Sumatran orangutan). RNAcentral's name for it is "retained intron". Lineage: Eukaryota; Metazoa; Chordata; Mammalia; Primates; Hominidae. The record is from RNAcentral.